UACGGGGGGAGCAAGCGUUGUUCGGAUUUACUGGGCGUAAAGGGCGUGUAGGCGGCCACCGCAAGUCAGUUGUGAAAUCUCCGGGCUUAACCCGGAAAGGUCAACUGAUACUGCGGGGCUAGAGUGCAGAAGGGGCAACUGGAAUUCUCGGUGUAGCGGUGAAAUGCGUAGAUAUCGAGAGGAACACCUGCGGCGAAGGCGGGUUGCUGGGCUGACACUGACGCUGAACUGCGAAAGCUAGGGGAGCGAACGGG
RNAcentral lists this ribosomal RNA (254 nucleotides) under uncultured bacterium. Its description in RNAcentral is "partial 16S ribosomal RNA". It matches the Rfam family "Bacterial small subunit ribosomal RNA", at positions 524 to 776 of the family's 1533-position model. The record is from RNAcentral.